AUUGAACGCUGGCGGAAUGCUUUACACAUGCAAGUCGAACGGCAGCACGGACUUCGGUCUGGUGGCGAGUGGCGAACGGGUGAGUAAUGUAUCGGAACGUGCCCAGUCGUGGGGGCUAACGUAGUGAAAAUUACGCUAAUACCGCAUACGAUCUAUGGAUGAAAGCGGGGGAUCGCAAGACCUCGCGCGAUUGGAGAGGCCGAUAUCAGAUUAGGUUGUUGGUGGGGUAAAGGCCCACCAAGCCAACGAUCUGUAGCUGGUCUGAGAGGACGACCAGCCACACUGGAACUGAGACACGGUCCAGACUCCUACGGGAGGCAGCAGUGGGGAAUUUUGGACAAUGGGCGAAAGCCUGAUCCAGCCAUUCCGCGUGCAGGAUGAAGGCCCUCGGGUUGUAAACUGCCUUUGUACAGGACGAAAAGGUUUCUACUAAUACUAGGAGCUCAUGACGGUACUGUAAGAAUAAGCACCGGCUAACUACGUGCCAGCCGCCGCGGUAA
RNAcentral lists this ribosomal RNA (500 nucleotides) under uncultured bacterium. Its description in RNAcentral is "partial 16S ribosomal RNA". It matches the Rfam family "Bacterial small subunit ribosomal RNA", at positions 30 to 523 of the family's 1533-position model. The record is from RNAcentral.